This 253-nucleotide ribosomal RNA is filed under the name uncultured bacterium. RNAcentral describes it as "partial 16S ribosomal RNA". It matches the Rfam family "Bacterial small subunit ribosomal RNA", at positions 524 to 776 of the family's 1533-position model. The record is from RNAcentral.
UACGAAGGGGGCUAGCGUUGUUCGGAAUUACUGGGCGUAAAGCGCACGUAGGCGGAUUUGUCAGUUAGGGGUGAAAUCCCGGGGCUCAACCUCGGAACUGCCUUUGAUACUGCAAGUCUCGAGUCCGGAAGAGGUGAGUGGAAUUCCUAGUGUAGAGGUGAAAUUCGUAGAUAUUAGGAAGAACACCAGUGGCGAAGGCGGCUCACUGGUCCGGUACUGACGCUGAGGUGCGAAAGCGUGGGGAGCAAACAGG